This is a transfer RNA of 87 nucleotides. It matches the Rfam family "tRNA". Rfam says of the family: Transfer RNA (tRNA) molecules are approximately 80 nucleotides in length. Their secondary structure includes four short double-helical elements and three loops (D, anti-codon, and T loops). The record is from Rfam.
UCCCAUAUAGUAUAGUGGUUAGUAUACUCCGCUUUCAGUCUUCUGAUGAGAUCCGGAGAGUCCCGAGUUCGAACCUCGGUGUGGGAA